Molecule: ribosomal RNA, 454 nt
Filed under: uncultured Prevotellaceae bacterium
Lineage: Bacteria; Pseudomonadati; Bacteroidota; Bacteroidia; Bacteroidales; Prevotellaceae
Description: bacterial SSU rRNA
Rfam family: Bacterial small subunit ribosomal RNA
Source: RNAcentral
ACGGAAGGCAGCAGUGAGGAAUAUUGGUCAAUGGACGGAAGUCUGAGCCAGCCAAGUAGCGUGAAGGACGACGGUAUUAUGUAUUGUAAACUUCUUUUAUGGGAGGGUAAAGUGAGCUACGUGUAGUUCAUUGCAGGUACCCCAUGAAUAAGCAUCGGCUAACUCCGUGCCAGCAGCCGCGGUAAUACGGAGGAUGCGAGCGUUAUCCGGAUUUAUUGGGUUUAAAGGGAGCGUAGGCGGGAGAUCAAGUCAGCUGUGAAAUGUGUAUGCUCAACAUAUGCACUGCAGUUGAAACUGGUUUUCUUGAGUGCGUUAGAAGUGGGUGGAAUUUGUGGUGUAGCGGUGAAAUGCUUAGAUAUCACAAAGAACUCCGAUUGCGAAGGCAGCUCACUAUGCCGCAACUGACGCUGAAGCUCGAAGGUGCGGGUAUCGAACAGGAUUAGAUACCCUGGUA